RNAcentral lists this ribosomal RNA (1475 nucleotides) under Bacillus spizizenii. Its description in RNAcentral is "bacterial SSU rRNA". It matches the Rfam family "Bacterial small subunit ribosomal RNA". The record is from RNAcentral. Lineage: Bacteria; Bacillati; Bacillota; Bacilli; Caryophanales; Bacillaceae.
GCUCAGGACGAACGCUGGCGGCGUGCCUAAUACAUGCAAGUCGAGCGGACAGAUGGGAGCUUGCUCCCUGAUGUUAGCGGCGGACGGGUGAGUAACACGUGGGUAACCUGCCUGUAAGACUGGGAUAACUCCGGGAAACCGGGGCUAAUACCGGAUGCUUGUUUGAACCGCAUGGUUCAAACAUAAAAGGUGGCUUCGGCUACCACUUACAGAUGGACCCGCGGCGCAUUAGCUAGUUGGUGAGGUAAUGGCUCACCAAGGCAACGAUGCGUAGCCGACCUGAGAGGGUGAUCGGCCACACUGGGACUGAGACACGGCCCAGACUCCUACGGGAGGCAGCAGUAGGGAAUCUUCCGCAAUGGACGAAAGUCUGACGGAGCAACGCCGCGUGAGUGAUGAAGGUUUUCGGAUCGUAAAGCUCUGUUGUUAGGGAAGAACAAGUACCGUUCGAAUAGGGCGGUACCUUGACGGUACCUAACCAGAAAGCCACGGCUAACUACGUGCCAGCAGCCGCGGUAAUACGUAGGUGGCAAGCGUUGUCCGGAAUUAUUGGGCGUAAAGGGCUCGCAGGCGGUUUCUUAAGUCUGAUGUGAAAGCCCCCGGCUCAACCGGGGAGGGUCAUUGGAAACUGGGGAACUUGAGUGCAGAAGAGGAGAGUGGAAUUCCACGUGUAGCGGUGAAAUGCGUAGAGAUGUGGAGGAACACCAGUGGCGAAGGCGACUCUCUGGUCUGUAACUGACGCUGAGGAGCGAAAGCGUGGGGAGCGAACAGGAUUAGAUACCCUGGUAGUCCACGCCGUAAACGAUGAGUGCUAAGUGUUAGGGGGUUUCCGCCCCUUAGUGCUGCAGCUAACGCAUUAAGCACUCCGCCUGGGGAGUACGGUCGCAAGACUGAAACUCAAAGGAAUUGACGGGGGCCCGCACAAGCGGUGGAGCAUGUGGUUUAAUUCGAAGCAACGCGAAGAACCUUACCAGGUCUUGACAUCCUCUGACAAUCCUAGAGAUAGGACGUCCCCUUCGGGGGCAGAGUGACAGGUGGUGCAUGGUUGUCGUCAGCUCGUGUCGUGAGAUGUUGGGUUAAGUCCCGCAACGAGCGCAACCCUUGAUCUUAGUUGCCAGCAUUCAGUUGGGCACUCUAAGGUGACUGCCGGUGACAAACCGGAGGAAGGUGGGGAUGACGUCAAAUCAUCAUGCCCCUUAUGACCUGGGCUACACACGUGCUACAAUGGACAGAACAAAGGGCAGCGAAACCGCGAGGUUAAGCCAAUCCCACAAAUCUGUUCUCAGUUCGGAUCGCAGUCUGCAACUCGACUGCGUGAAGCUGGAAUCGCUAGUAAUCGCGGAUCAGCAUGCCGCGGGUGAAUACGUUCCCGGGCCUUGUACACACCGCCCGUCACACCACGAGAGUUUGUAACACCCGAAGUCGGUGAGGUAACCUUUUAGGAGCCAGCCGCCGAAGGUGGGACAGAUGAUUGG